UUCAGCCAAUCCGCAGGGAAUGCGGAUAUGACGUACAGACGCUAAAGAUGGCGUCAGAUUCAAACGGCUCCUGGAUAAAUAUCGCUGGUCAUUGAAGUCUUACGGCAGCGGAGCUAUGCAGACCGAACCAGCGGAGCGGAGGAGACAGCCUCGCCGGAGCAAGCGCGCUGAGGGCGGGCCCGGCCGAGCAGAGCCGCGGGGGCCACAACCGACAUCCGCGGGCAGCUCCGAGGAGGAGAUGACAAGGUUGAAAAAGAUCGUCGCCGCCACGCGACAGAAAGACAAGCAGCAGGCGCCAAGGGGGGGAGGAGAGGAGAGAGAAGAGGAGGGAG
Molecule: long non-coding RNA, 332 nt
Organism: Perca flavescens (yellow perch)
Lineage: Eukaryota; Metazoa; Chordata; Actinopteri; Perciformes; Percidae
Exons: 3
Source: RefSeq, a predicted model, not a curated record